Molecule: long non-coding RNA, 906 nt
Filed under: Cyanistes caeruleus (blue tit)
Lineage: Eukaryota; Metazoa; Chordata; Aves; Passeriformes; Paridae
Description: lncRNA (ENSCCEG00000022282.1)
Source: RNAcentral
UGUAUCUGUGGGUAGCAGUGUAGGCACAACCUACUAUUAGUUUAUCUGGUUUUGUGAUGGGCUCCUCCUUAUCUCUGAAGCAAUGACUGGGAAAAUCAGCUGCUCUCAUCUGAUCCAGGGCUUCUUACCAUUUCUCUAAAUGGCUGAGUCUUUCCCAAGACACCUGGUACUUUCACAACUGUGACUUGGUACUAAAAUCUAGAGGACAUCUGAAAGAAAAAACCUGGACCUGCUCUGCUGGAGUGCAAACACCCAUUAGCAGCUGUAACUCAAGACCUAGUCUGGAUUUUACCCUCCCAGAUCUCAAUGGAUUGCUGAUUAAACAAAUGGAACAGUAUACUGCAGAAAAAAUAGAAAUACAUGGAGAAAGAGAAGAUUGCAGAAGCAACUCGUCGCAGAACGACAGUUUUCACCAUCUGUUUAUCAAUUUUCAAACAUGAAACAGAACACAUAUGAAAGAGCAGAGAGGUUCUUUGUGGGAGGUGCUACUGAACUUACUCAACAGCAGCCUUUCAAAUACAGUCUUCUUACUUUUCAUCCUGAGCUUUAGAAAGUAAACACUCGGGUUUACAGAUCUACAGCCAGCGUUCUAGGAGUGUAUGAUACUGCAGUAUUUCUUCUGCUUAUCAGCUCAGCCUGGAAGAAUAGUUGGAUUUUUUAAAUUACUGUCUCCACUGCACUCAGCUUCUGUAUACUGAUGUAUUUUUGCCUUUGUUUCUAAGAAUCAUCCAGUCUCUUAAAUGCUUUUACAAAUUAAGCUCGAAUGAAAGCUUUCACCUUUAUCUGAAGUGCAACUUAUUAUUUCUGAUGAUCCUUCCUCCUUUUGAAAUGCCACUCAAUGUAUCUUUACUGGAACCAUUAAAUUUAACUCAACUAAAUAAAUAAAUAAGAAGACUAUUUCUGGCA